GGUUAAGCGACUAAGCGUACACGGUGGAUGCCCUGGCAGUCAGAGGCGAUGAAGGGCGUGCUAAUCUGCGAUAAGCGCCGGUAAGGUGAUAUGAACCGUUAUAACCGGCGAUACCCGAAUGGGGAAACCCAGUGUGAUUCGUCACACUAUCAUUAACUGAAUCCAUAGGUUAAUGAGGCGAACCGGGGGAACUGAAACAUCUAAGUACCCCGAGGAAAAGAAAUCAACCGAGAUUCCCCCAGUAGCGGCGAGCGAACGGGGAGGAGCCCAGAGCCUGAAUCAGCAUGUGUGUUAGUGGAAGCGUCUGGAAAGGCGCGCGAUACAGGGUGACAGCCCCGUACACAAAAGCGCAUGUGCUGUGAGCUCGAUGAGUAGGGCGGGACACGUGGUAUCCUGUCUGAAUAUGGGGGGACCAUCCUCCAAGGCUAAAUACUCCUGACUGACCGAUAGUGAACCAGUACCGUGAGGGAAAGGCGAAAAGAACCCCGGCGAGGGGAGUGAAAAAGAACCUGAAACCGUGUACGUACAAGCAGUGGGAGCACCCUUCGGGGUGUGACUGCGUACCUUUUGUAUAAUGGGUCAGCGACUUAUAUUCUGUAGCAAGGUUAACCGUAUAGGGGAGCCGGAGGGAAACCGAGUCUUAAUUGGGCGUUAAGUUGCAGGGUAUAGACCCGAAACCCGGUGAUCUAGCCAUGGGCAGGUUGAAGGUUGGGUAACACUAACUGGAGGACCGAACCGAC
This 740-nucleotide ribosomal RNA is filed under the name Salmonella enterica subsp. enterica serovar Typhimurium. RNAcentral's name for it is "partial 23S ribosomal RNA". It matches the Rfam family "Bacterial large subunit ribosomal RNA", at positions 1 to 783 of the family's 2925-position model. Lineage: Bacteria; Pseudomonadati; Pseudomonadota; Gammaproteobacteria; Enterobacterales; Enterobacteriaceae. The record is from RNAcentral.